Molecule: ribosomal RNA, 403 nt
Filed under: Callionymus valenciennei
Lineage: Eukaryota; Metazoa; Chordata; Actinopteri; Syngnathiformes; Callionymidae
Description: partial 16S ribosomal RNA
Rfam family: Bacterial large subunit ribosomal RNA
Source: RNAcentral
AAAUUGAUCUCCCCGUGCAGAAGCUGGGAUAAUACCAUAAGACGAGAAGACCCUAUGGAGCUUUAGACAUAUCAGGUUUACGUCACUGCCCCCUAGAUAAAGGAGUGAACUAAUUAUAUACCUUGAAAAUGUUUUUGGUUGGGGCGACCACGGGAAAAGAAAUAACUCCCACGGCGAAGAAGUACAAACUUUUAAAGCUAAGACAAUCAAGUCUAAGCCAUAGAAAUUCUAACAAAUGAUCCGGCUUGCCGAUCAACGAAACGAGUUACCCUAGGGAUAACAGCGCAAUCCCCUUUAAGAGACCUUAUCAGCAAGGGGGUUUACGACCUCGAUGUUGGAUCAGGACAUCCUAAUGGUGCAGCCGCUAUUAAGGGUUCGUUUGUUCAACGAUUAAAGUCCUACG